Molecule: long non-coding RNA, 1429 nt
Organism: Raphanus sativus (radish)
Lineage: Eukaryota; Viridiplantae; Streptophyta; Magnoliopsida; Brassicales; Brassicaceae
Exons: 2
Source: RefSeq, a predicted model, not a curated record
AAGUAGAUCGAGAGUUAAGCGAUGGAGGCUGGGGAUGGAAUCUGGGGAGAAAAUAUACUUUCUAUUGUUUUGGGAUGGUUUCAGGGAUUAAGUGUCUGUAUGUAUGGGCUGAGUAGGCAAAAUCACAUCAUUAUCAAAAGUAAAGAUAGCUGGUUUUUGUGAUCUGGCUGCGGCUUUUGAAAAUUUGUGAAUUGGGGAUAUUACCUCCUCCACCCAUACCAUGUAGACCCUUAAUCCUGAAUCCAAAGCUCUGAGAGAGAGACAGAGAGAGCACUUUGUUUGUUUGCAAGUUGACCAACACACAUAUGCACUCUGAUUUGGACACAACAAGUUAUGGCCUUCCUUCCUGUUGUGUAGAUGAGUUAGGUGUUCCUUAUUCCCUCUCCUUGAAACUUUUGUUCAGAAUUCAUAUUAUUUAAUUCACCCUACAAGUUAAUUAGGCAUAUAACAUUGUCUUCUUUCUAGAUCAUAUGACCCUUUUGCUAUAUUUUUGAUGUAGAUAAUGCUUUUAUUGAUUGUCGCUUAACCAUCUGCCCAUUAAGAAAUUGGAGUCAUUUGCAGAUGGUGAUUCGAGCAUCUGUCUUUUGCAUUUUCAGCAAUCCUUCCCUUAUUAUUAUUUGACUAUGGUAGGUUGACUAUUUUGAUCUCUUGUGUGUAUGCUUUACAAUCAUAACUACACCGGUGCAGGCAGUCUUGUAUUGAAAUGGAGCUGUGCUUACGAAUAUCUCAUGACCAAAGCGCCAAGAAGCACCUUCGUCAAGAAGCUACAAACAAAAAACUUAUUCUUGGGCACAUAGCGACUCUAGAAACUUGACGAACCUAGACCUCACAUCUGAAGAUUUCAGUUAUUAGCAGCAAGUACUGCUCCGAGUAGAUGUCUUUAACUGGUUUGAUUAUGUUUACGGCAGAGUUUUUUUAUUUUCUAACAUCUGCAGAUGACUCUUCCUGAAAAAGCCGGCUGCAAAAAGAAAAGACCUAUGAAGUCAGGUGCAACCAUUAAGACAGUGGUGAGGAUAACCACUAUGUCCGGUUAGAUUAAUUGUUUUUAACUAUCGCCAUCUUCUUUUCAUCUUCAAUAUGUUUUAGCUUGUUUUCUGACAAGACACAGAGUUGUUGAUUAGGAAGAUGCCUGGAAAAGUCAAGGCAAGUAAAAGUUUCCAAUGGGUCAAGCGUUAAUUAUCUUCUGUGUCUCUGUCAUCGUUUUCAUUGUUUCAUCACCGGAAAAUAAUUCCUUUUAGUCUGGUUCCUUAGUCUUUCGGUGUAGCAAUACAUUCCUCUAUUAUGACUCUCGAGUCUUGGAAACUUGAGUUACGUUUGGUUUGUGAGUCAGGACAACAUAGUUUGCAUGUUUUGUUCCUGAUUCUCCAAAAGGUGUAUUGACGUUCAAGCAUAACGAUCAACUUAUUAUAUGAAUUAAAUUAUCUUUGUU